Phalacrocorax carbo (great cormorant) is the source of this 558-nucleotide non-coding RNA. The record is from RefSeq and is a predicted model, not a curated record. NCBI's taxonomy places the organism in Eukaryota, Metazoa, Chordata, Aves, Suliformes, Phalacrocoracidae.
UGCGUGGGGCGGCCGGGUCGCGAGGGGUCUCUUUGCGGUGCCGGGGCCCCUCUGCGGCCCGGCGUGGGAAGCCCGUGGCCGGCGGAGCCUGCUCGGAGCUGGGCGGGGAGCGCCGCGGCGGUCCGGCCGCAGGCAGCCAUCCCCUGCGGUGGCCGGCAUCCCCUCGGGACUCCUGGAGGCCUGGCGGCUCCCGAUCCUCGUCUGCGGCAGCCGCCUGAGAGAGCAGCGCGGCCGUAGCCGGGGGCCGGAGAGCGCUGGUGGGUGCAGAUGGAUGAGUCGUGCAGGGCAACGGAGGAGAGCCCAGGGGAGCGCUGUAAGAAGGUGACAGCCCUGCGAUGCUGCGGUGCCUGCGAGGUGAUGCCGCCGUGCUCGUUGCUGCUUCCUGGUAAGGAAAGGCCUCCUCCGCUCCUGCUGCAGCGUGGUGGUGUGUCGGACACGAUUCCCUGUGUCGGGUGAGGCCUAGGGCUGCCGGCGAGGUGAGCGAGCCCCUUUGGUGGGUGCCGGGGUGUCUCCUUGUGUGCCUGCACUACUGGGGCUGGUGGGAUGGGAAGCUUCAAA